CCUUCGAUAGCUCAGCUGGUAGAGCGGAGGACUGUAGUUGGUAUCCGUUAGCAAUCCUUAGGUUGUUGGUUCAAUUUCGGCUCGAAGGA
This 89-nucleotide transfer RNA is filed under the name Pelobates cultripes (western spadefoot toad). RNAcentral's name for it is "tRNA.Tyr". It matches the Rfam family "tRNA". From Rfam's summary of the family: Transfer RNA (tRNA) molecules are approximately 80 nucleotides in length. Their secondary structure includes four short double-helical elements and three loops (D, anti-codon, and T loops). The record is from RNAcentral. Lineage: Eukaryota; Metazoa; Chordata; Amphibia; Anura; Pelobatidae.